RNAcentral lists this ribosomal RNA (495 nucleotides) under uncultured bacterium. Its description in RNAcentral is "bacterial SSU rRNA". It matches the Rfam family "Bacterial small subunit ribosomal RNA", at positions 30 to 516 of the family's 1533-position model. The record is from RNAcentral.
AUUGAACGCUGGCGGCAUGCCUUACACAUGCAAGUCGAACGGUAACGGGCCUUCGGGUGCCGACGAGUGGCGAACGGGUGAGUAAUGCAUCGGAACGUACCUUUCAGUGGGGGAUAACGUAGCGAAAGUUACGCUAAUACCGCAUAUUCUGUGAGCAGGAAAGCAGGGGAUCGCAAGACCUUAUGCUUUUGGAGCGGCCGAUGUCUGAUUAGCUAGUUGGUAGGGUAAUGGCUUACCAAGGCGACGAUCAGUAGUUGGUCUGAGAGGACGACCAGCCACACUGGGACUGAGACACGGCCCAGACUCCUACGGGAGGCAGCAGUGGGGAAUUUUGGACAAUGGGCGCAAGCCUGAUCCAGCAAUGCCGCGUGAGUGAAGAAGGCCUCGGGUUGUAAGACUCUUUCAGUUGAGAAGAAAAAGUACGUGACUAAUAAUACAUGAUUACAUGACGGUAUCAACAGAAGAAGACACCGGCUAACUACGUAGCCAGCAGCC